GCCAAUCCGGCCCAAGGAGACAACCCGCGGCGAUCGAAGACGAAGACGAAGACGAAAAGGAGGGGAGAAGAGGAAAAGGACGAAGACGAGCAAAUCGAAGAAGAAGAAGAAGAAAGAGCUUAAUCUCUCAAGAACAAAGCCCUAAGUUUGAGCCUCGGCGAGAAAGAUCUCAAGCAUCGUGCUGGUGGAUUCCACAAGAGGAGGAAGAAGAAGUGGUUUUAAGUGCAUCGAGGCACCGAAAAGGGUGAUCUCUUCUCUUCACUGUGUAUAAAAAUGGUAACUUUUGGUUUCUUCUCUCUAGAUUAGGGUUAGGGUCCCUGACCGUGUAUAAAAAAAAAACCAAGUCAAGAAGACGGGGGCGCUGAGAUCUCGCUUAAAAAGGUCACAUGAUAACAUUUGGAUGUUGGGUUUCAGUUAGAU
This is a long non-coding RNA of Asparagus officinalis (garden asparagus), 420 nucleotides long. RefSeq lists it as uncharacterized. Lineage: Eukaryota; Viridiplantae; Streptophyta; Magnoliopsida; Asparagales; Asparagaceae. The transcript has 2 exons. The record is from RefSeq and is a predicted model, not a curated record.